GUCUCCCUGCGGUGUUCGUUGUCGGUCUAAUAUUCUUUGAACCAACUCGUCAUUGACGAGGUUACCUAGCCGAUUAGCGCUGUUGUGAGCGUCCCCCCGAAUCGUCGGGCUUGCAGGAUGCACCUUAAGGCGCGUGGAGGGUGACCACUUGAACCACACGGUUCAAGAUGCAGGCCGGGCGACACUCGCGGGGGGGCA
Molecule: non-coding RNA, 198 nt
Filed under: Parachitinimonas caeni
Lineage: Bacteria; Pseudomonadati; Pseudomonadota; Betaproteobacteria; Neisseriales; Chitinibacteraceae
Description: 6S RNA
Rfam family: 6S / SsrS RNA
About the family: E. coli 6S RNA was the first non coding RNA to be sequenced, but its function was unknown until recently. It consists of 184 nucleotides that fold into an extended hairpin structure with a large single-stranded internal bulge.
Source: RNAcentral